UACAGAGGGUGCAAGCGUUGUUCGGAAUCAUUGGGCGUAAAGGGCGCGUAGGCGGUUUCUCAAGUCGGAUGUGAAAUCCCAGGGCUCAACCCUGGAAGUGCAUCCGAAACUAGGAGACUUGAAUCUCGGAGAGGGUGGUGGAAUUCCCAGUGUAGAGGUGAAAUUCGUAGAUAUUGGGAGGAACACCGGUGGCGAAGGCGACCACCUGGCUGAAGAUUGACGCUGAGGCGCGAAAGCGUGGGGAUCAAACAGG
This 253-nucleotide unclassified non-coding RNA is filed under the name uncultured Myxococcales bacterium. Its description in RNAcentral is "contains 16S-23S intergenic spacer region". It matches the Rfam family "Bacterial small subunit ribosomal RNA", at positions 524 to 776 of the family's 1533-position model. The record is from RNAcentral. Lineage: Bacteria; Pseudomonadati; Myxococcota; Myxococcia; Myxococcales.